RNAcentral lists this unclassified non-coding RNA (485 nucleotides) under Hevea brasiliensis (rubber tree). Lineage: Eukaryota; Viridiplantae; Streptophyta; Magnoliopsida; Malpighiales; Euphorbiaceae. The record is from RNAcentral.
CUCUGUAGAUUUAUCCAGGAUAACAAUUUAACUUGCUAUUGCGAAUUUGAAUGAACAGGAUCAUGUUUAGAUGCUAGUACAGGGCUUAUCUAAAUCUAACCAUUAAGUAAUGAUGGGUAGAAAACGCAAGGAGAGUAAGGGAAGAGGCAGCAUCCUAGCAAGUCUAGCUGCAUCCAAGGACCAAAACUGUGGAAAGCUUCUUUGCGACAAAAUUUGAUAUGAAAAAAAAAAAAAAAACACUGUUAUUCAAGUCGUUAUCCUACAUGUGAUAGUCUAAAUGAAGAAAGCUCUCAUACGAUGUUCCAUUCAGUACUUGUGAGACCUCAUCCCAGUUCUGAAUUUGGUCUGAUAAGGCUCCACUGUGUAUCUUAACCUGACGACUUGUGAGCUCUCUAUGUGGCAACCUUAGAAACUCCUGAACCUCUUUGAGUUUCGUGCGAUUGCUCACAACAUCUUCAUAGUAAACAACAAUGUGGCGAGUGCUC